GGAACUGUGAGACAGGUGCUGCAUGGCUGUCGUCAGCUCGUGUUGUGAAAUGUUGGGUUAAGUCCCGCAACGAGCGCAACCCUUAUCCUUUGUUGCCAGCGGUCCGGCCGGGAACUCAAAGGAGACUGCCAGUGAUAAACUGGAGGAAGGUGGGGAUGACGUCAAGUCAUCAUGGCCCUUACGACCAGGGCUACACACGUGCUACAAUGGCAUAUACAAAGAGAAGCGACCUCGCGAGAGCAAGCGGACCUCAUAAAGUAUGUCGUAGUCCGGAUUGGAGUCUGCAACUCGACUCCAUGAAGUCGGAAUCGCUAGUAAUCGUGGAUCAGAAUGCCAAGGUGAAUACGUUCCCGGGCCUUGUACACACCGCCCGUCACACCAUGGGAGUGGGUUGCAAAAGAAGUAGGUAGCUUAACCUUCGGGAGGGCGCUUACCACUUUGUGAUUCAUGACUGGGGUGAAGUCGUAACAAGGUAACCGUAGGGGAACCUGCGGUUGGAUCACCUCCUUACCUUAAAGAA
This 520-nucleotide ribosomal RNA is filed under the name Salmonella enterica. RNAcentral's name for it is "bacterial SSU rRNA". It matches the Rfam family "Bacterial small subunit ribosomal RNA", at positions 1023 to 1533 of the family's 1533-position model. RNAcentral also lists the same sequence under 1 other name. Lineage: Bacteria; Pseudomonadati; Pseudomonadota; Gammaproteobacteria; Enterobacterales; Enterobacteriaceae. The record is from RNAcentral.